This 436-nucleotide ribosomal RNA is filed under the name uncultured bacterium. RNAcentral describes it as "bacterial SSU rRNA". It matches the Rfam family "Bacterial small subunit ribosomal RNA", at positions 28 to 505 of the family's 1533-position model. The record is from RNAcentral.
GAUGAACGCUGGCGGCGUGGAUAAGGCAUGCAAGUCGAGCGGAAACACUUCGGGUGUCGAGCGGCGGACGGGUGAGUAACGCGUAGGUACAUACCCCAAACUGAGGGAUAAGCACUGGAAACGGUGUCUAAUACCGCAUAUGGUCUUCGGAUUAAAGCUUUUAGCGGUUUGGGAAUGGCCUGCGUAGGAUUAGCUAGUUGGUAAGGUAAAGGCUUACCAAGGCGACGAUCCUUAGCUGGUUUGAGAGGAUGAUCAGCCACAUUGGAACUGAGACACUGUCCAAACGCCUACGGGCGGCUGCAGUCGAGAAUCUUCCACAAUGGGCGCAAGCCUGAUGGAGCAACGCCGCGUGCAGGAUUAAGGCCUUCGGGUUGUAAACUGCUUUUAUAAGUGAAGAAUAUGACGGUAACUUAUGAAUAAGGGACUGCUAACUACG